GGAGCUGUAGUGUAGCGGUUAUCACGUCGGCCUGUCACGCCGAAGAUCGCGGGUUCAAUUCCCGUCAGCUCCGCCA
This 76-nucleotide transfer RNA is filed under the name Desulfonispora thiosulfatigenes DSM 11270. RNAcentral describes it as "tRNA_Asp". It matches the Rfam family "tRNA". From Rfam's summary of the family: Transfer RNA (tRNA) molecules are approximately 80 nucleotides in length. Their secondary structure includes four short double-helical elements and three loops (D, anti-codon, and T loops). Lineage: Bacteria; Bacillati; Bacillota; Clostridia; Eubacteriales; Peptococcaceae. The record is from RNAcentral.